Molecule: long non-coding RNA, 330 nt
Organism: Solea solea (common sole)
Lineage: Eukaryota; Metazoa; Chordata; Actinopteri; Pleuronectiformes; Soleidae
Exons: 4
Source: RefSeq, a predicted model, not a curated record
GUUUUAACGGAGGAACAUUUUGAUUGAAACGUAAUGGCCAGGCGUUAAAUUAGUCUCGGACAACCCAGAAGGAUCGCGAGGAGGUGUUGGUGCCAAUCGCAUCUGAUCUCAAACAAAAAGGUGGGGUCACACCCAUCACAGGGACACACAGAGACAAACAACCAUCCAUAACCUGAAGGUUCCACCGAUGAUCGCAGUUAGUUAGCAUUGACCCAGUCCAUGAGAUUACUGUAAACUCUAUGCUGAGCUCGACCAGGUACCUGCCCAAAUCUUUUACAGAUGCAAAGUCAUCAACGUGGAUGAAAGAAUUAGGCGGAGCCACAGCUUUAU